AGUGGCGGACGGGUGAGUAACGCGUGAGAAUCUGCCUUGGGGUCGGGGACAACCACUGGAAACGGUGGCUAAUACCGGAUAAGCCGAUUGGUGAAAGAUUUAUUGCCCGAAGAGGAGCUCGCGUCUGAUUAGCUAGUUGGUGAGGUAAGAGCUCACCAAGGCAGCGAUCAGUAGCUGGUCUGAGAGGACGAUCAGCCACACUGGGACUAAGACACGGCCCAGACUCCUACGGGAGGCAGCAGUGGGGAAUUUUCCGCAAUGGGCGAAAGCCUGACGGAGCAAGACCGCGUGAGGGAGGAAGGCUCUUGGGUUGUAAACCUCUUUUCUCAGGGAAGAAGCUCUGACGGUACCUGAGGAAUCAGCCUCGGCUAACUCCGUGCCAGCAGCCGCGGUAAUACGGAGGAGGCAAGCGUUAUCCGGAAUUAUUGGGCGUAAAGCGUCCGCAGGUGGCGAUUCAAGUCUGCUGUCAAAGCACGGGGCUUAACUCCGUAAAGGCAGUGGAAACUGAAUAGCUAGAGUGCCGUAGGGGUAGAGGGAAUUCCCGGUGUAGCGGUGAAAUGCGUAGAGAUCGGGAAGAACAUCGGUGGCGAAAGCGCUCUACUGGACGGCAACUGACACUCAGGGACGAAAGCUAGGGGAGCGAAUGGGAUUAGAUACCCC
Molecule: ribosomal RNA, 660 nt
Filed under: uncultured bacterium
Lineage: Bacteria
Description: bacterial SSU rRNA
Rfam family: Bacterial small subunit ribosomal RNA
Source: RNAcentral